RNAcentral lists this long non-coding RNA (1003 nucleotides) under Anser cygnoides (Swan goose). Its description in RNAcentral is "lncRNA (ENSACDG00005004539.1)". The record is from RNAcentral. Lineage: Eukaryota; Metazoa; Chordata; Aves; Anseriformes; Anatidae.
GGGGGGGAGGAGGGAAAAAAAGGUGGCUUUGGGGCCUUUUUUUGAGGGUGCUGGGUGGAGGAGAGGGAGGUGCCUGUGAGUGCCACCGCUGCCGGAAAGCUCCCCGCUGCCUGUAUUGCUCAGCUGAAAGCUCAGAGCUCCUGACCCCGCUGCAAAGCGCCCGGUAAAGCACCUGCAGCAGCACCGAGGCGGGGGCCUGCCCUGCGCCACCUCCAUGCCCAGCCCCAGAGCCCUGGCACCUCCCGGCCCUGCUUCCCGUGGGGGGCUGGCAGGGGAGGGGGCACCCAUGGGGCACCCACCCACCCCAGCACCCACCCCAGCACCCAGCGAGGCCCCUGCCCGCACUUAGCACCCCGCGUGAGCAGCCGGGUGCCGUGAGAGCCGGGCACAGCAAGGGUUAAGCCGCGGGACUAACCCAGGGAAACUCGAAAAGAAACCAAAGGGACUGAUUUCCUAGAAAUCCACUUCCCCUACGUCACCGCUGCCUCCCCUGACAGGCAGCGAGGCGCAGCCCAGCGCUGGGCCCCCACCGGGCAGGGGCAUCAGGAACCCCCACGGCUCUGAGCGUUGCUGCGUCAGCUGCCAGGGCUGUCAUCGGGUCCCUGCUGCGACCCCGUGGAUCCCCAGCAAAACCCCACUGGUGUCUGCGGCCACUGCCCUGGAUCCCCCCACAGACCCCUGGGUCUCUCCUGUGACCCUCCCCCUGGAUCUGAGCCUCCAAAUAAAGGCGUCGGAUCCUGUUGAUCCUGUUGUGGUUUAAGCUGAGCCCCGCGCAGCCGCUUGCUCACUGCCCCCGUGGGGUGAGGCAGAGAAUCAGGAAGCGAUGAUGUAUGAAACCAUAAAAGUGAUUACUGGGGCCACUGCUGGAGUAGGAGUGGUGCUCUUUGGCUUCCCGGCAGUCGUCUCUGCGCUGGGGUUUAAGGCGGCCGGCAUCGCCGCGGGGUCCAUAGCUGCCAAGAUGAUGUCGGCGGCUGCCAUAGCCAACAACGGAGGAGUGGCUGCC